UACGUAGGGUGCAAGCGUUGUCCGGAAUUAUUGGGCGUAAAGAGCUCGUAGGCGGUUCGUCGCGUCGGCUGUGAAAACCUGAGGCUCAACCUCAGGCCUGCAGUCGAUACGGGCGGACUUGAGUACUGCAGGGGAGACUGGAAUUCCUGGUGUAGCGGUGAAAUGCGCUGAUAUCAGGAGGAACACCGGUGGCGAAGGCGGGUCUCUGGGCAGUAACUGACGCUGAGGAGCGAAAGCGUGGGGAGCGAACAGG
This 253-nucleotide ribosomal RNA is filed under the name uncultured bacterium. Its description in RNAcentral is "partial 16S ribosomal RNA". It matches the Rfam family "Bacterial small subunit ribosomal RNA", at positions 524 to 776 of the family's 1533-position model. The record is from RNAcentral.